GACGAACGCUGGCGGCGUGCCUAAUACAUGCAAGUCGAGCGAGCGGAACCAACAGAUUUACUUCGGUAAUGACGUUGGGAAAGCGAGCGGCGGAUGGGUGAGUAACACGUGGGGAACCUGCCCCUAAGUCUGGGAUACCAUUUGGAAACAGGUGCUAAUACCGGAUAAUAAAGCAGAUCGCAUGAUCAGCUUUUGAAAGGCGGCGUAAGCUGUCGCUAAGGGAUGGCCCCGCGGUGCAUUAGCUAGUUGGUAAGGUAACGGCUUACCAAGGCGACGAUGCAUAGCCGAGUUGAGAGACUGAUCGGCCACAUUGGGACUGAGACACGGCCCAAACUCCUACGGGAGGCAGCAGUAGGGAAUCUUCCACAAUGGACGCAAGUCUGAUGGAGCAACGCCGCGUGAGUGAAGAAGGUUUUCGGAUCGUAAAGCUCUGUUGUUGGUGAAGAAGGAUAGAGGUAGUAACUGGCCUUUAUUUGACGGUAAUCAACCAGAAAGUCACGGCUAACUACGUGCCAGCAGCCGCGGUAAUACGUAGGUGGCAAGCGUUGUCCGGAUUUAUUGGGCGUAAAGCGAGCGCAGGCGGAAAAAUAAGUCUAAUGUGAAAGCCCUCGGCUUAACCGAGGAACUGCAUCGGAAACUGUUUUUCUUGAGUGCAGAAGAGGAGAGUGGAACUCCAUGUGUAGCGGUGGAAUGCGUAGAUAUAUGGAAGAACACCAGUGGCGAAGGCGGCUCUCUGGUCUGCAACUGACGCUGAGGCUCGAAAGCAUGNGUAGCGAACAGG
Molecule: ribosomal RNA, 781 nt
Filed under: uncultured bacterium
Lineage: Bacteria
Description: bacterial SSU rRNA
Rfam family: Bacterial small subunit ribosomal RNA
Source: RNAcentral